UAGAGUUUGAUCCUGGCUCAGGAUGAACGCUCUUGGCGUGCUUAACACAUGCAAGUCGAACGAAGCACUUUAUUUGAUUUCCUUCGGGACUGAUUAUUUUGUGACUGAGUGGCGGACGGGUGAGUAACGCGUGGGUAACCUGCCUUGUACAGGGGGAUAACAGUUGGAAACGGCUGCUAAUACCGCAUAAGCGCACAGCAUCGCAUGAUGCAGUGUGAAAAACUCCGGUGGUAUAAGAUGGACCCGCGUUGGAUUAGCUAGUUGGUGAGGUAACGGCCCACCAAGGCAACGAUCGGUAGCCGGACUGAGAGGUUGAACGGCCACAUUGGGACUGAGACACGGCCCAGACUCCUACGGGAGGCAGCAGUGGGGAAUAUUGCACAAUGGGGGAAACCCUGAUGCAGCGACGCCGCGUGGAGGAAGAAGGUCUUCGGAUUGUAAACUCCUGUUGUUGAGGAAGAUAAUGACGGUACUCAACAAGGAAGUGACGGCUAACUACGUGCCAGCAGCCGCGGUAAAACGUAGGUCACAAGCGUUGUCCGGAAUUACUGGGUGUAAAGGGAGCGCAGGCGGGAAGACAAGUUGGAAGUGAAAUCUAUGGGCUCAACCCAUAAACUGCUUUCAAAACUGUUUUUCUUGAGUAGUGCAGAGGUAGGCGGAAUUCCCGGUGUAGCGGUGGAAUGCGUAGAUAUCGGGAGGAACACCAGUGGCGAAGGCGGCCUACUGGGCACCAACUGACGCUGAGGCUCGAAAGUGUGGGUAGCAAACAGGAUUAGAUACCCUGGUAGUCCAUGCCGUAAACGAUGAUUACUAGGUGUUGGGGGAUUGACCCCCUCAGUGCCGCAGUUAACACAAUAAGUAAUCCACCUGGGGAGUACGACCGCAAGGUUGAAACUCAAAGGAAUUGACGGGGGCCCGCACAAGCAGUGGAGUAUGUGGUUUAAUUCGAAGCAACGCGAAGAACCUUACCAGGUCUUGACAUCCGAUGCAUAGCACAGAGAUGUGUGAAAUCCUUCGGGACAUCGAGACAGGUGGUGCAUGGUUGUCGUCAGCUCGUGUCGUGAGAUGUUGGGUUAAGUCCCGCAACGAGCGCAACCCUUAUUGCCAGUUACUACGUUAAGAGGACUCUGGCGAGACUGCCGUUGACAAAACGGAGGAAGGUGGGGAUGACGUCAAAUCAUCAUGCCCUUUAUGACCUGGGCUACACACGUACUACAAUGGCGUUAAACAAAGAGAAGCAAGACCGCGAGGUGGAGCAAAACUCAAAAACAACGUCUCAGUUCAGAUUGCAGGCUGCAACUCGCCUGCAUGAAGUCGGAAUUGCUAGUAAUCGCGGAUCAGCAUGCCGCGGUGAAUACGUUCCCGGGCCUUGUACUCACCGCCCGUCA
This 1388-nucleotide ribosomal RNA is filed under the name uncultured bacterium. RNAcentral's name for it is "bacterial SSU rRNA". It matches the Rfam family "Bacterial small subunit ribosomal RNA". The record is from RNAcentral.